CAGCCGCCACGGUAAUACGUAGGUGGCAAGCGUUGUCCGGAAUUAUUGGGCGUAAAGGGCUCGCAGGCGGUUUCUUAAGUCUGAUGUGAAAGCCCCCGGCUCAACCGGGGAGGGUCAUUGGAAACUGGGAAACUUGAGUGCAGAAGAGGAGAGUGGAAUUCCACGUGUAGCGGUGAAAUGCGUAGAGAUGUGGAGGAACACCAGUGGCGAAGGCGACUCUCUGGUCUGUAACUGACGCUGAGGAGCGAAAGCGUGGGGAGCGGACAGGAUUAGAUACCCCUGUAGUCCCUGUCUCUUAUAC
RNAcentral lists this ribosomal RNA (301 nucleotides) under uncultured bacterium. RNAcentral's name for it is "partial 16S ribosomal RNA". It matches the Rfam family "Bacterial small subunit ribosomal RNA", at positions 509 to 807 of the family's 1533-position model. The record is from RNAcentral.